ACACACUGAGAUAUUGGUCCUUUUUCGAUUUUGCAAGUCGACGUUUUAUAGAUAAACUACAGUGAG
RNAcentral lists this transfer RNA (66 nucleotides) under Conus canariensis. RNAcentral describes it as "Kalloconus canariensis tRNA-Cys". Lineage: Eukaryota; Metazoa; Mollusca; Gastropoda; Neogastropoda; Conidae. The record is from RNAcentral.